This 253-nucleotide ribosomal RNA is filed under the name uncultured bacterium. Its description in RNAcentral is "partial 16S ribosomal RNA". It matches the Rfam family "Bacterial small subunit ribosomal RNA", at positions 524 to 776 of the family's 1533-position model. The record is from RNAcentral.
UACGUAGGUGGCAAGCGUUGUCCGGAUUUAUUGGGUUUAAAGGGUGCGUAGGCGGCCCUGUAAGUCAGUGCUGAAAUAUCCCGGCUUAACCGGGAGGGUGGCAUUGAUACUGCGGGGCUAGAGUCCGGAAGAGGAGAGUGGAAUUCCUGGUGUAGCGGUGAAAUGCGCAGAUAUCAGGAAGAACACCAAUGGCGAAGGCAGCUCUCUGGGACGGUACUGACGCUGAGACGCGAAAGCGUGGGGAGCGAACAGG